Molecule: ribosomal RNA, 231 nt
Filed under: uncultured bacterium
Lineage: Bacteria
Description: partial 16S ribosomal RNA
Rfam family: Bacterial small subunit ribosomal RNA
Source: RNAcentral
CGGGUGAGUAACGCGUGGGUAACCUGCCUUGUACAGGGGGAUAACAGUUGGAAACGGCUGCUAAUACCGCAUAAGCGCACGGCAUCGCAUGAUGCAGUGCGAAAAACUCCGGUGGUAUAAGAUGGACCCGCGUUGGAUUAGCUAGUUGGUGAGGUAACGGCCCACCAAGGCGACGAUCCAUAGCCGACCUGAGAGGGUGACCGGCCACAUUGGGACUGAGACACGGCCCAA